Molecule: microRNA precursor, 118 nt
Filed under: Setaria italica (foxtail millet)
Lineage: Eukaryota; Viridiplantae; Streptophyta; Magnoliopsida; Poales; Poaceae
Also listed under: 1 other name
Description: mir-399 microRNA precursor family
Rfam family: mir-399 microRNA precursor family
About the family: mir-399 was identified in both Arabidopsis thaliana and Oryza sativa computationally and was later experimentally verified. mir-399 is thought to target mRNAs coding for a phosphatase transporter.
Source: Rfam by way of RNAcentral
GUGAGAAUCACAGUGCAGCUCUCCUCUGGCAUGGAGGCAGAGAGAGGCAUGAACAAUAGAUAUUUGAUGUAAUUUCCAGCCUUUCUGUGCCAAAGGAGAGCUGCCCUGACAUUCAUUA